Molecule: ribosomal RNA, 300 nt
Filed under: uncultured Lactobacillus sp.
Lineage: Bacteria; Bacillati; Bacillota; Bacilli; Lactobacillales; Lactobacillaceae
Description: bacterial SSU rRNA
Rfam family: Bacterial small subunit ribosomal RNA
Source: RNAcentral
CCGAACUACGUGCGUGCAGCCUCGGUAGUACGGAGGGGGCGUGCGUUGUCCGGAAUUAUUGGGCGUAAAGGGCUCGUAGGCGGUUUGUCACGUCGGGCGUGAAAACGCGGGGCUCAACCCCGAGCCUGCGUCCGAUACGGGCAGACUAGAGGUAUGCAGGGGAGAACGGAAUUCCUGGUGUAGCGGUGAAAUGCGCAGAUAUCAGGAGGAACACCGGUGGCGAAGGCGGUUCUCUGGGCAUUACCUGACGCUGAGGAGCGAAAGUGUGGGGAGCGAACAGGAUUAGAUACCCUAGUAGUC